Molecule: microRNA precursor, 82 nt
Filed under: Aotus nancymaae (Ma's night monkey)
Lineage: Eukaryota; Metazoa; Chordata; Mammalia; Primates; Aotidae
Description: miRNA (ENSANAG00000014563.1)
Source: RNAcentral
CGGUCCAGACGUGGCGGGGUGGCGGCGGCAUCCCGUACGGCCGUGAGGAUGCGCCGCCCACUGCCCCGCGCCGCCUUGACCG